Molecule: unclassified non-coding RNA, 567 nt
Filed under: Ramalina sp. PJ-2019a
Lineage: Eukaryota; Fungi; Ascomycota; Lecanoromycetes; Lecanorales; Ramalinaceae
Description: sequence contains 18S rRNA gene, ITS1
Rfam family: 5.8S ribosomal RNA (bases 201-354)
Source: RNAcentral
ACCUGCGGAAGGAUCAUUACAGAGAGGGGUGUCGAGCCCCAGGGGACUGCGGUCCCCGCCUCUAUACCCCGUGAUUUGCGUUACCUUUUGUUGCCUUGGCGGGAUGCCGCCCCCCUCUCGGGCGGGUGGUUGAUCCGCCAGCAGCCUAGCAAAACUCGUUUUAUUCGUGCUGGUCCGAAUACCAACUUAUAAUGAAUCAAAACUUUCAACAACGGAUCUCUUGGUUCUGGCAUCGAUGAAGAACGCAGCGAAAUGCGAUAAGUAAUGUGAAUUGCAGAAUUCAGUGAAUCAUCAAAUCUUUGAACGCACAUUGCGCCCCUCGGUAUUCCGGGGGGCAUGCCUGUUCGAGCGUUAUUACACCGUUCAAGCGUAGCUUGGUAUUGGGUCCCUCGUCCGGGGUUUCCCGCGGCGUGCCCGAAAAAUAUUGGCGGUCCGGAGCGACUUUUAGCGUAGUAAAUCUUCUCCCGCUUUGAAAGGCUCGCAUCGUGGCCGGCCAGAAAACCACCAAUUUUUUUUAUAAUUGACCUCGGAUCAGGUAGGGAUACCCGCUGAACUUAAGCAUAUCAA